GAUGAACGCUGGCGGUGUGCCUAAUACAUGCAAGUCGAGCGAACAGACGAGGAGCUUACUCCUCUGACGUUAGCGGCGGACGGGUGAGUAACACGUGGAUAACCUACCUAUAAGACUGGGAUAACUUCGGGAAACCGGAGCUAAUACCGGAUAACAUGUUGAACCGCAUGGUUCAACAGUGAAAGACGGUCUUGCUGUCACUUAUAGAUGGAUCCGCGUCGCAUUAGCUAGUUGGUAAGGUAACGGCUUACCAAGGCAACGAUGCGUAGCCGACCUGAGAGGGUGAUCGGCCACACUGGAACUGAGACACGGUCCAGACUCCUACGGGAGGCAGCAGUAGGGAAUCUUCCGAAAUGGGCGAAAGCCUGACGGAGCAACGCCGCGUGAGUGAAGAAGGUCUUCGGAUCGUAAAACUCUGUUAUUAGGGAAGAACAAAUGUGUAAGUAACUAUGCACGUCUUGACGGUACCUAAUCAGAAAGCCACGGCUAACUACGU
RNAcentral lists this ribosomal RNA (496 nucleotides) under uncultured bacterium. RNAcentral's name for it is "partial 16S ribosomal RNA". It matches the Rfam family "Bacterial small subunit ribosomal RNA", at positions 28 to 506 of the family's 1533-position model. The record is from RNAcentral.